Molecule: non-coding RNA, 1040 nt
Organism: Cinara cedri
Lineage: Eukaryota; Metazoa; Arthropoda; Insecta; Hemiptera; Aphididae
Source: the annotation of a GenBank genome assembly
GUUUAAAAUUCUGUUUCGCGCGCGUAGCUGAUGUUCCCGAAUGUGUGGACUGUGCACAGUAUUUAAGGGGCGUACAUUGUGGCACUGCCGGUUUCCGUUUUUCGAACGGAAACCUGCAUUUGAAAUGCCGCGCACUGACGGUGUAGAUAUCGGUUUGAAUAGCACGCCGGUGUUGACAUCUUUGAUUUCCGUCAACCCGUUGACAAGAUAUCCCGCGUUCGAGCUUUUGGCUAGGGGGAGUGUAGCGGAGCACCGUGAAACGUUACCCCGUUGUGCAUAAUCGACUGCGUUUAAUAUUACACCGGUCGAUCGAGUUGUAUCGAGCAAAAAUAUGGACGGGUAUUGAUUUAGCGAUUUCGACAAAAAUACCAACUGUUAAACUACGUUCGCCAGUAACGGACAUCCGACAUGCCAUUGUACUUACCUAAUGGGUAAUAUGAGUUUGAACAAUAUUCCACGGGGCGUGGGCACAGGCCACAAUUCGAUAAUUUUAUAUUUCGUCGGAACGUUUUUAUUAGACACUUGUCGUGUCGUAGGUAACCUAUCUACUUGAGUACAUUUCAGUUCGGAUUUCAGACAAUAACAGUGCACCGUAAUAAAAUCACCGAGUAAAAUCGAUUUUUAAUUAUAAUUUGUUUAUGAAUACACCGAUAGAAAAAAAAAAAAAAAAUCAAUAACAGCAUACCUAUUCAAUAUUGAAGUAAAUUAGAAAAUGUAUAAUCAAUCUCAGAAAAGGAAAACAGGUAGUAGGUAAUCUCCUAAUUUCUUGAUUUCCGAUUCAUGUAAGUUUAUUGAUUUUAAUAUUUAAAAAACAAUUUAUUCAAACAUACAAUAAUUACUAACAUUUAUGGAAACAUAGUAAUAACGUAUAAUUACUGUGUUGUUUGUAAAUUGUUACGUGUGGUAUCAAAAUAAAUAAUUUACCACUGUAAUCGAACUACGUAAAUUCAUGUAAAACCUACAAGUUGCUUAUAAGGUACCUAUAUGCUUUGUUUGAAGUGUUACUCAAUUGUAAUUUUUAUUCUUAAUUUUUUUUGUGC